This 378-nucleotide ribosomal RNA is filed under the name Triticum aestivum (bread wheat). RNAcentral's name for it is "partial small subunit ribosomal RNA". Lineage: Eukaryota; Viridiplantae; Streptophyta; Magnoliopsida; Poales; Poaceae. The record is from RNAcentral.
UCGAUUAACCUGACACAAGGCCGGGAUGUGUUCCGCUGAAACCUUACUACAUCUGGGUCUUUCACUGUGAACUCUAUGUACUGUGCGUUCACACAUUCUGAGGUACCAGUGAGUAAUAACAAGAAAAUUUGGAAGCCCAAGAUUCCACUAAAAGUGAAUAUUUUCAUGUGGUAUCUUCGUAGGGGAGUUGUGUUAAGCAAAGACAACCUCGCACGACGCAACUGGUAAGGGAGUAAGAGGUGUUGUUUUUGUACUCAUGACGAGACAAUCAAACACCUCUUUUUUCAAUGCAAGUUUUUACGUUCUGCGUGGCCAGUCAUCCAAAUAGCGUCAAAUUUGCAUCCGCCCACAAGUGUUGCCAAUAUAUUUGGUCAUUAG